RNAcentral lists this long non-coding RNA (201 nucleotides) under Ananas comosus (pineapple). Its description in RNAcentral is "long non-coding RNA (ACOM_LNC026528)". The record is from RNAcentral. Lineage: Eukaryota; Viridiplantae; Streptophyta; Magnoliopsida; Poales; Bromeliaceae.
GGCGGGUAGAUAGUAUUCCAGUUAACUUAUAUAUUUAAGUUUCUAUAAGUUUUAAUAAAUAUUAUAAAAAUUUAAAACCCUCAACAUAAAAUCCUUAAUAUAAAAAUUUAAACCUUGAUAUUUUUUAUACAUAGAUUUUCUAUACAAUGUAGAUCACAUUUAUUUAAUUAUAUUAUAAUCUUAUAAUAUGAAUUAUUAAAA